RNAcentral lists this ribosomal RNA (1379 nucleotides) under Callulina kreffti (Krefft's secret frog). Its description in RNAcentral is "partial 16S ribosomal RNA". It matches the Rfam family "Bacterial large subunit ribosomal RNA", at positions 393 to 2597 of the family's 2925-position model. Lineage: Eukaryota; Metazoa; Chordata; Amphibia; Anura; Brevicipitidae. The record is from RNAcentral.
GCUCACACUAACUACUAUAAUACAUUAAAUAAUCAAUAAAAGCCUAACAAAACAUUUUUAAAGUCCAGUAAACGUGAUUAAAAAACUAUUAAAGCCUAAAAGUACCGUAAGGGAACUAUGAAAUAGAAUUGAAAUAACCUAAAAGCACCAAAAAGUAGAGCUUAUACCUCGUACCUUUCGCAUAUCGUCUAGCCAGUCUAACCAAGCAAAAUGAAUUUACAGUUUGACUUCCCGAAACUAAGUGAGCUACUUCAAAACAAUUUAUUGAACUAACCCAUCUCUGUAGCAAAAGGGUGGAAAGAUUUUCAAGUAGAGGUGAUAAGCCUACCGAACUUAGAGAUAGCUGGUUGUUCAAGAAACGGAUCUUAGUCCAACCUAGAGUUUUUCUCAUUACUUAAAAAACAAAUAAACUCUUGAGCCAUUCAAAUAAGGUACAGCUUAUUUGAAACAGGGUACAACCUAAAACACUGGGUAAUGCAUAAUCUUCAACCAAGUGGGCCUAAAAGCAGCCACCUUUAAAAAUGCGUUAAAGCUUAAUUCUAACCCAUUUUGAUACCAAAAUCUAAUAAAACCCCUCAUCAAUAUUGAACGACUUCAUAAAUAUAUGAAAAACACAAUGCUAGAACUAGUAAUAAGAAGAACGCCUUCUCCACAAUGUAAGCAUGACCCAGAACGGACCAAACACUGGAACCUAACGUUUCUGAAAUUAUUGUAAUAACAUAACAAGAAAACACUACCUAACAAACCGUCAACCUAACACAAGAACAUUACUGGAAAGAUCAAAAAAGUAUGAAGGAACUCGGCAAACUAUGACCCCGCCUGUUUACCAAAAACAUCGCCUCUUGACACUUAUAAGAGGUCCAGCCUGCCCAAUGACUCAUUAAAUGGCCGCGGUACCCUAACCGUGCGAAGGUAGCAUAAUCACUUGUUCGUUAAAUCCGGACUAGUAUGAACGGCCCCACGAGGGUUGCACUGUCUCCCUACUUUAAUCAAUUAAACUAAUCUCCCCGUGAAGAAGCGGGGAUCAAAAUAUAAGACGAGAAGACCCCAUGGAGCUUAAAACCCAGAACCAACUACUAAAAAUUUUCAUUAAAACCCGUAUACCUGGCCCCUGGUUUUUGGUUGGGGCGACCGCGGAGUAAAACACAUCCUCCACGAUGAAUAGACAUUUUACUUAAGAGCUACACCUCUAAAGAUCCUAAAUAAGACAUUCACUGACCCAAACACUUGAUCAACGAACCUAGUUACCCUGGGGAUAACAGCGCAAUCCAUUUCAAGAGCCCCUAUCGACAAAUGGGUUUACGACCUCGAUGUUGGAUCAGGGCAUCCCAGUGGUGCAACCGCUACUAAAGGUUUGUUUGUUCAACAAUUAAAGCCCU